Molecule: long non-coding RNA, 720 nt
Filed under: Felis catus (domestic cat)
Lineage: Eukaryota; Metazoa; Chordata; Mammalia; Carnivora; Felidae
Description: lncRNA (ENSFCAG00000052847.1)
Source: RNAcentral
AUCAUCAUUAAAAGCCAAAUGUCCUUGCUUUCCAAUCACAUGAUGAACUAUAGGAAAUGCAAAAGAACGGAGUUGGUAAUUCAGAACAUAGGAAACAUCUGAGAAGACCAAAUUUGUUGAUAGUGAAUUUUAGCCAUAGACAUAGGGAGUUGACUGCUCCAAUUUAACAUGAAAAUGAAAAAGAUGCCAACUAAAAAGUAUUUCACUGAAUCAUAUUUUGGAAGAAGUUAAUCUCAUUUCUCAGUAACAUUAAUGCUCAGGUCUCCUUCAGGUGGUAAGAUCCAACACUAUUUUUCCAGUUCAUUCUAGGAUUCUUGUAACUGAUAACACUAGCAUGCUCUGGGAGUGAUUCCAAGUGAAUGUUUAUAUGGAGUGUGUGUGUAUUAUUUUAAACAACACAUGUAAGGAGCAACAUGUUAUAUUUUGACUUUUCCACAUUUUAUGUUAUCACCCUUGGUUUUGGAACCACACUAUGUUGUAGGAUGGAGAAGCAAGAAAGCAUGAUGCCAGAAUUUUAGUGAUUAAAUAUGUGAUGAAAAUAUUAUCUUAGACCAUUACAGCUCUAGGCAGAUGAUAGAAAAAUAUAUUACACUUUCAGGUAUCAUCACAUGAUUCUUCUUUUUUUUUUUUUUGUCUUACUCUUCAAACUAAGACAAGGAAUGAGAUGUCAUUGACAAAAUGACAAGGGGACAAUAAAUAUUUUCUGAUCUUGGGAAAUCA